Molecule: ribosomal RNA, 497 nt
Filed under: uncultured bacterium
Lineage: Bacteria
Description: partial 16S ribosomal RNA
Rfam family: Bacterial small subunit ribosomal RNA
Source: RNAcentral
GAUGAACGCUGGCGGCGUGCCUAAUACAUGCAAGUCGAGCGAACGGACGAGAAGCUUGCUUUUCUGAUGUUAGCGGCGGACGGGUGAGUAACACGUGGAUAACCUACCUAUAAGACUGGGAUAACUUCGGGAAACCGGAGCUAAUACCGGAUAAUAUUUUGAACCGCAUGGUUCAAAAGUGAAAGACGGUCUUGCUGUCACUUAUAGAUGGAUCCGCGCUGCAUUAGCUAGUUGGUAAGGUAACGGCGUACCAAGGCAACGAUGCAUAGCCGACCUGAGAGGGUGAUCGGCCACACUGGAACUGAGACACGGUCCAGACUCCUACGGGAGGCAGCAGUAGGGAAUCUUCCGCAAUGGGCGAAAGCCUGACGGAGCAACGCCGCGUGAGUGAUGAAGGUCUUCGGAUCGUAAAACUCUGUUAUUAGGGAAGAACAUAUGUGUAAGUAACUGUGCACAUCUUGACGGUACCUAAUCAGAAAGCCACGGCUAACUACGUG